UUUAACAAUAUAAGGACUAUAAUACAAAAAUAUAAAAGAUUACACAUUAAAAUACCAGAUAUAAUAGUAAUAAUAGCAGUAGUGGUAAUAUGUACAAAGUUACGAAUGAAAAUCAUGGACAAUAUACUUCUAACAAAGGAGUUAACAUAAACAGUAGCAACAAAAAUAAAAAUUGUCCACUUCGAAAUAUAACAAGAAAUUGUACUGAUUUAAAAAAAAAAAUUUAUACGAACAACCAUAAUUCGGUAAAAAUAAAUGAUAAUAUAAUACAAAAUUAUGAUAAAACAAUCAGUGAUAUGUGUAAUGCUAAUAUAAAGGAAGAAUUACGUUGUAAAAACAAUAUUAGUAACAUUAAUUGUAAUGGUGUUCAUAGUAAUGAUAGUAAUAGUGUAACUACAGAAAGUUGUAUUGAAAACGAUGAUAAUGCUUUAGCAAACGAAAACAAUAAUAAAAACAAAAAUAGAAAAUCAGAAAAGAAAAAUCAGUUUAUUGUGCAAAAUGAUCAAACAAAAUAUAUUAAUAAAAAAAAUGAAAAACUAAAUUUUAUUUCAAAUUCUGUCGAUUGUAAUGAUUCAAAAAAAGAAAACGUUAACGUACCAUUGCUACAUAGAGAAGAAACAAAUGGCAAUUUUAAACUUUUUUUAAAUGACGAAGAUAAAUUAAAACAUAAAAAUAUUAUAUAUAAUGAUACAUGCUCAAAAAGUAACAUUAUUUUUAGUACAUCUAAUGAUAUUAAUAAAGUAGAUAAUAUAUAUCAAAGUAAUAAUAAUUUACAUGAUAAUAUUUCAGAUGAGUUAAUAGACAUUACGUAUACAAGUGGGCAAGUUUUUUUACAUAAGGAAAAUAAAAAUGGUGCUUCUAAAAAUUGCACUUCUAAAAAUUAUGUUUCUAAAAAUUGUGCUUCUAAAAAUUGUGCUUCUAAAAAUGGUACAACUAACAGUAGUACAGACGUAAGCACAAGCACAAAUGUAAUUACCAACGAGAACACCAGCACAAGCAUGGAUAACACGUCAUCUGAAAGUACUGAAAACACUUACUGUGAUUUUAAUGAGAGCUUAAAUAAUAAUAGUGUAUCUCAAAGUACAAAAACUUUUAGUAAUAGUAGUAAUGAUAACAUAAAAGAAUCAGCCGACAGUAUGUAUUUAUGUAAAACUGUGCCUUGUAGUAGUAAAAUGAAUAAUUUGAAUUUGUGCCAUGACUUCGUUUCUACCUACGCUCCAAAUUUAGACAGUAGUUUAUACCAAUAUUUAAAUAAUAAAAAAGAUGAUGAAGAAAGGAAAAAGGAAGAAGGGGUAUAUAAUAUACAAAAUAUAUCAAACGAGAAUAACACUGAUUUUGUUGAUUUUAAAAAAAUAGAUAACUUAAAAAGUGAUAGUAAAAAUGGAAGUGAUCAUUCUGAUAAUAACGAGAGUAGCACAAGUUAUAAAAGUAGCGAACUGAUUAAUGAAAGUAGCCAAGAUAUAAGUAGAAAAAGAAGGAAAGGCAACAGUGUUGAAAAAAGUAGCGAAAGUAGUUGUGACUAUGUACCUAACCGUGAUGAUAAUGUUUUUUUAAGCGAAGAUGACAGUCAAAAUAGCACCAACAGAAACACCAUUGAAAACGACAAAACGGACGGAACUUCUUGUACUCGUGAUGAUACACAAGACACAAAAAAAAAUGAAAUAGUAACACAAAAGAACAGCUUAAAAAGAAAUCUAAAAAAUGAUUAUAAUAAUAAUAUGAAUAAAAAACUAAAAAUGAAUGAAUACUCUUUACUUAAUUUAAAUAUAUACAAAAACAUUCAAUCAGAUAUAUACAGGAAUAAUGCUUAUAAUACAUACGUAUUAAACAACCUUCGUAAUUCUUAUUUGAAAAUUAAAUUAAACGAAGCAAACCUUAAAAUGAGUAAUAAUAGAACGAGCGAAGAAAAAAAAAAAAAAUCGCUUUCUAAUUAUAGCCAUAAUAGUAAUAAUAUGAAUGACAACAAUAAUAAUAUUAGUAACAAUUGUACUUAUGCCUCUUUUAAAAACAGUGACAAUGGAUACACUUUACAAAAAAAAUUCAACAAGACUACGGCUGAAAGUAACCAUACUAAUUUAUCAUCCAUUUUUAAUACUGCAAUAAAUAAUAAGAUAAAUAGCGAGGAAAAAGAACUUGCAUUUGAUGUUAAUAAAAACAUAAAACAAAAUGAUAUUAUGAUUAAUUCUAACAAUUAUGAUAUGCAAAAUUCAAAUAAUGAUAUACAUAAGAAAUAUGUUGAUAAAAAUAAAAAAAACGUCGUAGGAUGCAUGCAUGAGUCAUUGAAACGGGACACAUAUAAUGGUUGCUUAAACGUUAGUAAUAACAUUAGUUAUAGUAAUAAUAACUAUAGUAACAACGAAUGCAGUAACAACAACCAAAGCAGCAACAGCCAUAGUAACAACCUUCCGAAAGAGAUGUUAUACAAUAAAGAUUUCCAUUUAAACUUAUGCAGUAUAAUACAACUUUUAGAAAAAGAGAAAAUCGAAAAAUUAUAUUCUGAAGAAGAAUUAAAAAGUAUAUUAAUUCCGAUAUAUGGUGUUUAUUACGAUACUACAAAAAAAAAUUGGUUGUGUAAUUAUGAUCAUGUUAAUAAUAUACCAUUUUCUUCUCCUUCCCCUUCUUCUUCUUCUUCUUCUUCUGCUUCUUCUUCCUCAUCAUCAAAAUCGACGUCAACAUCAAAUAUAAAAAAAAAAAUAUUUCCCACAAAAAUAUAUUCUUAUCACGAAGCAAGACAAUUAGCUUUAGAACAUAAAUAUAAUUAUACUAAAAGUAAAUAUAACAUCUUUAAUAAUUUAAAUGAAGAAGAACAUAUAUUUUUUAUAUCAAUAAACGCAUUUACAUCAAAUAAAAUUAACAAGAAUGAGAAACAAAAAGUGUUAAACCAUAACCAUACAUGUACUGACAAAGGGAUACUAUACUCCCCCUCCAAUGAUAAUUGUAUUGAUACACAACAAAACAAUGUUUCCAAUGUAAAUGAGAAUAGCGAUCAAUUAACUGCUUUUUACAAAGAAAACGUCGAAGAUGUAUCAGCAUUAAAAAGUGAAUUAAAAAAAAAAGAAAACGACUAUACUGUUAAUAUGGAUGAUAGUUCUGUCGCAAAUACCACCACAAGUACCUGUGCAAGUACUGUUAUAGAUAGUGAUAGCACAACUAGUGGAACAUGUAAUAGUACAAAUGUUAAUUUACAUACUAGUUUAUAUAUUGACUCACAAAAAAAUAAAAAAAUAAAUUUAAACUUAACUUUAAAACUGUUGGAUCAUAAAGAAACAAUUAAUUAUGACACAUCUUUACCAAUUCAAAAUAUUAGUUCUGACUUAGCUAAUACGAAAGAAGACAUUGAAGAAAAAUGUUUUAAUAGAAAUGAUACAACAGGUGGUGGUGACGACAUCUUGUUAAAUAGUUUACAUUUGACACAAAACAAUAGUGACGUUAUUAAUUUUGAAAAAAGUUACGAUGGCGCUCUUAACGCAACAAAUAAUAACAUACUUGACACUAGUACAAAUAAAAGAAAUAAUCUUAACAAUAAUAGCAACGAAAAAAAGGACGCAGAAAUGGAUAAAGAUGAUACAAUCGGUGCAUACAGUGCUCAAAUAAUAGAAAAAACGGACGAUACACACAAUACAUACAUUAUAGACAGUAUAAACAAAACCAACGGUAUAUACAAUGCACAUAACACAAACAUACACAGUAUUAACUUUAAAACACAAGUCAUAUUGUACAAAACAUUAGGUAUAAUGUUUUCAGAAAGCAUAAUCGAAAAAUUAAAGCAUUUACAAAAAGAAUAUAUCUUUUAUGAAAAAGAAAAAGAAAGAUGGGUUAUUAAAAUACUUGAAAAAAAAAAUAAUACAUUGUUAUAUUUUAAAAAGUUUGACUGUAAAGUUUAUGGUUUUUUCUAUGCAUGUAUUCUAACAAUAGAACAUAAACAUUUAUAUUUAGAUUACUUCCUAAAUGAAAAAAAUUACGACUUCUUAAUGAACUUAAUACAAAAUAGUUAUAUAAAAAAGAAUCGUUAUUAUAAUGGCAACACGCUUACUGAGCCAAGUUCUUUUUAUAGUGAUGUAGACUAUAACUGUGUAUAUCAUAAUGGUGUAGCUCAUAACGAUAUCAAUAUAAACAAUGCGAACUAUAAUUGUGUCUAUCCAACUGAAAAUGAAAAACGUAUUUCAAACUUUGUUUGCUGUAAGGACAACGUAUAUAAUGUCGACAUGAACGAUGACAACAUAUGCAAACACGAGUCGUUCCAUUAUAAUAAUACCAAAGUAGGUCACGUACAAACUGCAAAUUACGAAGUAAGUUAUGACCAUAUUAAUUCUUUUGAAAAACACAGUGAUGUCACAAGGAAUAGAAGUUACAUUAAAAAAAAAGCGUUUACUAAAAAUUGUAACAAAAAAGGAAAGGUAUAUGCAUAUAAAAAUACAAUGCUAAGUAAGAACCCUAACAUAGUAUAUAAUAACUACGAAACAAAAAAUGCUAGUAUAAAAAUAAAAAACGAAACAAAUAAUUACAUAUACGAAAAUAACAUUUGUGUAAAUAGCUUACAAGUAACAAAUUAUAACUAUGCUGUAGAAAAUAAUAUACACAACGAUACGUACCCAAUUCAAACUAUUAACAGUAGCGAUGUCACUGGUUAUGCAAACCAUAUGCAAUUAUAUAAGCAAAACGUAAAAGGGGUAGUUAUAGAAAAGUUUCACAGUGACGAGAAAAAAACAACAAUAAUAAAAAAAAAAAAGAAAAAAAGAAAAAAAAAAUAACCAAACCUAUCAAGACAAUCAAGUAAAUGGUGCGCAUACAACUGAUGGGCAUAUAAAUGGUGCGCAUACAACUGAUGGGCAUACAAAUGGUGCGCAUAUAACUGAUGCACACACAAAUGAUGACGAUACAAAUGAUGGACAUACAAAUGGUGUGCAUAUAACUGAUGCACACACAAAUGAUGAUGAUACAAAUGAUGGGCAUACAAACCCAAACGUUCAACAAACGACAGAAAAUGGACAUAAUUACAAUUCUUAUAAAAAUAAAAACCAUAGUAAUUUUUUAUUAACUCUGGGU
This 5046-nucleotide long non-coding RNA is filed under the name Piliocolobus tephrosceles (Ugandan red Colobus). Its description in RNAcentral is "lncRNA (ENSPTEG00000013065.1)". The record is from RNAcentral. Lineage: Eukaryota; Metazoa; Chordata; Mammalia; Primates; Cercopithecidae.